This 221-nucleotide non-coding RNA is filed under the name Lapidilactobacillus dextrinicus. Its description in RNAcentral is "Lactobacillus dextrinicus T-box sequence". It matches the Rfam family "T-box leader". From Rfam's summary of the family: Uncharged tRNA acts as the effector for transcription antitermination of genes in the T-box leader family. Lineage: Bacteria; Bacillati; Bacillota; Bacilli; Lactobacillales; Lactobacillaceae. The record is from RNAcentral.
AAGUGUACAUUGAAGAAAGCUAGUAGUUUACUGAAACAAAACAGAGAAACGAUUAACAGCUGAGAAAUCGUUAUUGUGAAGGUGAAUGAAUUCUUUUCUGAGUUAGUUUCUGAACAACAGUUGUUAAUUAAGAAAUUACGUUAGUCGCGUUAUGACUUUAAGUGUUGCUUAGCAUUAUGAUAAGCAAAAUUAGGGUGGUACCGCGAUGCCUCGUCCCUUUG